This is a non-coding RNA of Geobacteraceae bacterium GWB2_52_12, 61 nucleotides long. The record is from Rfam. Lineage: Bacteria; Pseudomonadati; Thermodesulfobacteriota; Desulfuromonadia; Geobacterales; Geobacteraceae.
CGCCAAGAACCACGAGGAUAGUCUCCCCUUGUGGAUCGGGCACAUUACAAAGAUGAAGGAG